GCUGCCAGCAGCUUCCGCCUGCUACGGUCCUGGCAAGCACCUCGGGAUCCCAUUCCUUCACAGGGACCCUAGCCAGUUAAAGCUGAUACAUUCCUGUGGGUCAACUAUGCAACUAACUCAGAUUUUGAGCAAACAAAGCUCUCAAGUUGGUGAUCCUCAGGAGUCUCUGCAUUAGUUGGACAGCUCUUCUGGAAUUAUCUUCUAAGUCAACUGUGGGUUGGGUAGGUGGCUCUGCUGAUUUUUCGCUGGACUUCCACAUUUGGGACGAGUUGGCUGUCAUCAGCUCUAGAAAGGGUGUGGCCGUUUUACAUUGGCUGUUUUCCUCACAUUCCUCAAGCAGAUAACUGAUACCGUGCUUCCAGAAGAUUUUUCUAACAGUGUUUGCAAGCUAUAAAAUAGUGCUUUCACUUAGAAAAGGCUAGACGUGGUGGUUCAUGCCUGUAAUCCCAGCACUUUGAGAGGCCGAGGCACCAUGCUGGGAGAUAAGGAUCCAACAUAAGACAAACAGUGCUGAUGCUUUUGGAAAGCUCAUAUUCAAGCUGGGGAGACAAACAACAUACAAGAGGGCUCUGAGAGAUUUCAUUUCUGUCCUGCUGAUGAAGUCUACGUUCAUUCAGGGCCUGCUGUGGAAGACCAGCCCCAAAGUUGCUGAACAGAAGACUUUUGAGAGUCAGCAGAAAUCUUCCACUUUGCAUGGUUCUCUUGAUGUGAAAUCAUCUAUAUAGCCCCAGAAUUGGAAAAGAAAAAAAAUAAAAAAAUGGAAGGAAACUGGA
RNAcentral lists this long non-coding RNA (773 nucleotides) under Homo sapiens (human). RNAcentral's name for it is "CCDC18 antisense RNA 1". The record is from RNAcentral. Lineage: Eukaryota; Metazoa; Chordata; Mammalia; Primates; Hominidae.